Molecule: ribosomal RNA, 447 nt
Filed under: uncultured bacterium
Lineage: Bacteria
Description: bacterial SSU rRNA
Rfam family: Bacterial small subunit ribosomal RNA
Source: RNAcentral
UGGGGAAUCUUGGACAAUGGGCGCAAGCCUGAUCCAGCCAUGCCGCGUGGAUGAUGAAGGCCUUAGGGUUGUAAAAUCCUUUCGCCGAGGACGAUAAUGACGGUACUCGGAGAAGAAGCUCCGGCUAACUUCGUGCCAGCAGCCGCGGUAAUACGAAGGGGGCUAGCGUUGUUCGGAUUUACUGGGCGUAAAGCGCGUGUAGGCGGACUUGUAAGUUGGGGGUGAAAUCCCGAGGCUCAACCUCGGAACUGCCUCCAAAACUACAAAUCUGGACCUAAGUAGAGGCAAGUGGAAUUGCGAGUGUAGAGGUGAAAUUCGUAGAUAUUCGCAGGAACACCAGUGGCGAAGGCGACUUGCUGGACUUAUGGUGACGCUGAGACGCGAAAGCGUGGGGAGCAAACAGGAUUAGAUACCCACGUAGUCCCUGAGCGGGCUGGCAAGGCGCAU